AUGGGGAAAAAAUCCCAGAAAAUGGCAAAAAAAUGUUCACAAAGACGGAGAAAAAAACGUUCGAAAAAUCGACCCCCAAAACCCCGAAAAUCCCCGGAAAAUCCCCCAAAAACCACCAAAAAAUCCCCAAAAAUCGCCAUUACUUCCCAGUUUGACUCCUUUCUUUCUCUUUUUUUCCCAAAAUCCCCCUUUUUUCCCCCAAAAUUCAGCCCUAGGUCCCGUCCCAGACGACGUCACCUUGCUGUCGGCCGUCGCCAGCGCUCUUCACAUCAGUUCCAUUCCCAAGGGAAAGAAAUCCCCCAAAAUGGGGCAAAAUCCCCCCAAAUUGGGAAUAAAUCCCCAAAGUGGAGAAAAAAAAUCCCCAAAAAUGGGGAAAAUAUCCCCCAAAAUGGGGCAAAAACUCCCAGAAAAUGGGAGAAAAUCCCCAUAAAGGUGAAGAAAAACAUUUUUGAAGAACCGACUCCCGAAAUCCCCCCAAAAUCCCCCAAAAAUCACAAAAGAAAAUCCCAAAAAUGGGGCAAAAUCCCCCAAAAUGAGAGAAAAACCCUAAAAUUGAGGGAAAAUUCCCAAAAAAUGGGGAAAAAAUCCCAGAAAAUGGCAAAAAAAUGUUCACAAAGACGGAGAAAAAAACGUUCGAAAAAUCGACCCCCAAAACCCCGAAAAUCCCCGAAAAAUCCCCCAAAAUUCACCAAAAAAUCCCAGAAAUGGGGAGAAAUCCCCCAAAAUGAGAGAAAAACCCUAAAAUUGGGGAAAAUUCCCAAAAAAUGGGAAAAAAAUCCCAGAAAAUGGCAAAAAAAUGUUUACAAAGACGGAGAAAAAAACGUUCGAAAAAUCGACCCCCAAAACCCCAAAAAUCCCCGAAAAAUCACCCAAAAUUCACCCAAAAAUCCCAAAAAUGGGGAGAAAUCCCCAAAAAUGAGAGAAAAACCCUAAAAUUGGGGGAAAAUUCCCAAAAAAUGGGGAAAAAAUGCCAGAAAAUGGCAAAAAAAAUCCCCAUAAAUAUGAAGAAAAAAACGUUCGAAAAAUCGACCCCAAAAACCCCAAAAUCACCCAGAAAAUCACCAAAAAAAUCCCCAAAAUGGGACAAAAAGGGGGAAAAAUCCCAAAUUGGGGAAAAAUGUCCCAAAAUUGGGGAAAAAAUCCCAAAAAUAGGGAAAAAAUCCCAGAAAAUGGCAAAAAAUCCCCAUAAAUAUGAAGAAAAAAAGCUUCGAGGAAUCGACCCCAAAAACCCCAAAAUCACCCAAAAAAUCAUCAAGAAAAUCCCAAAAAUGGGACAAAAUGGGGGAAAAAUCCCAAAUUGGGGAAAAAUGUCCCAAAAUUGGGGAAAAAAUCCCAAAAAAUGGGGAAAAAAUCCCAGAAAAUGGCAAAAAAUUCUCAGAAAUAUGAGGACAAAAAACUUUCGAGGAAUCGACCCCAAAAACCCCAAAAUCACCCAAAAAAUCACCAAAAAAAUCCCAUAAAUUGGGAAAAAUGGGGGAAAAAUCCCCAAAAUGGGGAAAAAUGUCCCAAAAUUGGGGCAAAAAUCCCAAAAAUAGGGAAAAAAAUCCCAGAAAAUGGCAAAAAAUCCCCUUAAAUAUGAAGAAAAAAACCUUCGAGGAAUGGACCCUAAAAAUAGGGGAAAAAACCCAAAAAAUCCUCAAAAAAUCCCCCAAAAUUCACCAAAAAAUCCCAGAAAUGGGGAGAAAUCCCCCAAAAUGAGAGAAAAAGCCUAAAAUUGGGGGAAAAUUCUCAAAAAAUGGGGAAAAAAUCCCAGAAAAUGGCAAAAAAUCCCCAUAAAUAUGAAGAAAAAAACCUUCGAGGAAUGGACCCUAAAAAUAGGGGAAAAAACCCAAAAAAUCCUCAAAAAAUCCCCCAAAAUUCACCAAAAAAUCCCAGAAAUGGGGAGAAAUCACCAAAAAUGAGAGAAAAAGCCUAAAAUUGGGGGAAAAUUCCC
RNAcentral lists this long non-coding RNA (1933 nucleotides) under Phasianus colchicus (ring-necked pheasant). RNAcentral describes it as "lncRNA (ENSPCLG00000017746.1)". The record is from RNAcentral. Lineage: Eukaryota; Metazoa; Chordata; Aves; Galliformes; Phasianidae.